RNAcentral lists this ribosomal RNA (902 nucleotides) under uncultured bacterium. Its description in RNAcentral is "bacterial SSU rRNA". It matches the Rfam family "Bacterial small subunit ribosomal RNA", at positions 26 to 896 of the family's 1533-position model. The record is from RNAcentral.
AGGACGAACGCUGGCGGCGUGCCUAACACAUGCAAGUCGAACGGAGAAUUUCAAAGAGUUUACUUAGAGAAAUUUUUAGUGGCGGACGGGUGAGUAACGCGUGGGUAACCUACCCAUAAACCCGGGACAACCCUUGGAAACGAGGGCUAAUACCGGAUAAUCUUUGGACUUGGCAUCAAGUUUUAAGAAAAGGUGGCCUCUGUAUAUGCUACCGAUUAUGGAUGGACCCGCGUCUGAUUAGCUAGUUGGUGGGGUAAAGGCCUACCAAGGCGACGAUCAGUAGCCGGCCUGAGAGGGUGAACGGCCACACUGGGACUGAGACACGGCCCAGACUCCUACGGGAGGCAGCAGUGGGGAAUCUUCCGCAAUGGACGAAAGUCUGACGGAGCAACGCCGCGUGUAUGAUGAAGGUCUUCGGAUUGUAAAGUGCUGUCUUUGGGGAAGAAUGAUUGGUUUGAAAAUAUUGAGCCAAUAUGACGGUACCCAAGGAGGAAGCCCCGGCUAACUACGUGCCAGCAGCCGCGGUAAUACGUAGGGGGCAAGCGUUGUCCGGAAUUAUUGGGCGUAAAGGGCGCGUAGGCGGAUGUUUAAGUCCGGUGUGAAAGAUCAGGGCUCAACCCUGAGAGUGCAUCGGAAACUGGGCAUCUUGAGGACAGGAGAGGAAUGUGGAAUUCCUAGUGUAGCGGUGAAAUGCAUAGAUAUUAGGAGGAACACCAGUGGCGAARGCGACUUUCUGGACUGUAACUGACGCUGAGGCGCGAAAGCGUGGGGAGCAAACAGGAUUAGAUGCCCUGGUAGUCCACGCUGUAAACGAUGAGUGCUAGGUGUAGAGGGUAUCGACCCCUUCUGUGCCGCAGUUAACACAAUAAGCACUCCGCCUGGGGAGUACGGCCGCAAGGUUG